UUAGACUCGAGCUGCGCGUACCAGAUCCCCUGGAUCUUCACAUCCUUAGGUGCCUUGGCCCCAAGGUCGGUGUCCGACGGCUGCACACUCUCGAAGACACCGAUGACCUCGCCAGUUUCCGGGUUGCUCUUGGUGACGCUCAAUGUGAUGUUGCCCGUCGACGACGCAGCGUUCUUGAUGUUCUCCUUCACGAGCUCCUCCUCGUCUCCCCUGCCUCCGGCGGGGAGCGCGACGGCGUUGUCGUACCCGGUCGAACCACCACGGCCCUUGGGGUCGAGGAAGGAGGAGCCACGGUAGCUGGGCACGAGGAAGGGCCCGCCGAAGCUCUCGGGCUUGCCGGUGGCGACGAGCUGCUUGACGGUGAAGAGGAACGGCACGCGCUCGCCUCCUGGAAGCUGCACGGUGACGGCGGCGUAGUCGAUGCCGUCCUUCUCCUCGAACUUGAGGGUGCCGUCGGAGCCGACCUCGAG
RNAcentral lists this long non-coding RNA (470 nucleotides) under Setaria italica (foxtail millet). RNAcentral describes it as "long non-coding RNA (SITA_LNC003684)". The record is from RNAcentral. Lineage: Eukaryota; Viridiplantae; Streptophyta; Magnoliopsida; Poales; Poaceae.